GUCCACGCCGUAAACGAUGUCGAUUUGGAGGCUGUGUCCUUGAGAUGUGGCUUCCGGAGCUAACGCGUUAAAUCGACCGCCUGGGAGUACGGCCGCAAGGUUAAACUCAAAUGAAUUGACGGGGCCCGCACAAGCGGUGGAGCAUGUGGUUUAAUUCGAUGCAACGCGAAAACCUUACCUGGCCUUGACAUGUCUGGAAUCCUGUAGAGAUACGGGAGUGCCUUGGGAAUCAGAACACAGGUGCUGCAUGGCUGUCGU
This 258-nucleotide ribosomal RNA is filed under the name uncultured bacterium. RNAcentral describes it as "partial 16S ribosomal RNA". It matches the Rfam family "Bacterial small subunit ribosomal RNA", at positions 793 to 1055 of the family's 1533-position model. The record is from RNAcentral.